Molecule: ribosomal RNA, 431 nt
Filed under: uncultured bacterium
Lineage: Bacteria
Description: partial 16S ribosomal RNA
Rfam family: Bacterial small subunit ribosomal RNA
Source: RNAcentral
AAUGAACGCUGGCGGCAGGCCUAACACAUGCAAGUCGAGCGCCCCGCAAGGGGAGCGUCACUCGGGUGAGUAACGCGUGGGGACGUACCGUUUGGUUCAUAACAACCCCCUUAAACUGGGGCGAAUACCGGAUAAGCCCUAACGGGGUAAGAUUUAUCGCCUAAAGAUCGGCGCGAGUCUUAUUAGCUAGUUGGGUGGGUAAGGGGUCCCCAGUGCGACUAGCGGUAGAUCGUCUGAGAGGUACAUCAGACACACUGAGGCUGAGACACAGUCCAGAAUCCUACACGAGGCAGGAGUGGCGAAUAUUGGAAAAUCGCGGGAGGCAUGAACCAGCCAUGCUGCGUGAGUGAUGAAGUCCUGAAAGUAGUAAAGCUCUUUUAUCCGGGAAGAUAAUGACGGUACCGGAAGAAUAAGCCCCGGCUAACUUCGUG